RNAcentral lists this ribosomal RNA (253 nucleotides) under uncultured bacterium. Its description in RNAcentral is "partial 16S ribosomal RNA". It matches the Rfam family "Bacterial small subunit ribosomal RNA", at positions 524 to 776 of the family's 1533-position model. The record is from RNAcentral.
UACGUAGGGUGCGAGCGUUGUCCGGAAUUAUUGGGCGUAAAGAGCUCGUAGGCGGUUUGUCGCGUCGUUCGUGAAAACUCCACGCUUAACGUGGAGCGUGCGGGCGAUACGGGCAGACUUGAGUUCGGUAGGGGAGACUGGAAUUCCUGGUGUAGCGGUGAAAUGCGCAGAUAUCAGGAGGAACACCGAUGGCGAAGGCAGGUCUCUGGGCAUUAACUGACGCUGAGGAGCGAAAGCAUGGGGAGCGAACAGG